RNAcentral lists this ribosomal RNA (526 nucleotides) under uncultured Clostridium sp. RNAcentral's name for it is "bacterial SSU rRNA". It matches the Rfam family "Bacterial small subunit ribosomal RNA", at positions 8 to 551 of the family's 1533-position model. Lineage: Bacteria; Bacillati; Bacillota; Clostridia; Eubacteriales; Clostridiaceae. The record is from RNAcentral.
AGAGUUUGAUCCUGGCUCAGGACGAACGCUGGCGGCGUGCUUAACACAUGCAAGUCGAGCGAUGAAGCUCCUUCGGGAGUGGAUUAGCGGCGGACGGGUGAGUAACACGUGGGUAACCUGCCUCAUAGAGGGGAAUAGCCUUUCGAAAGGAAGAUUAAUACCGCAUAAGAUUGUAGUACCGCAUGGUACAGCAAUUAAAGGAGUAAUCCGCUAUGAGAUGGACCCGCGUCGCAUUAGCUAGUUGGUGAGGUAACUGCUCACCAAGGCGACGAUGCGUAGCCGACCUGAGAGGGUGAUCGGCCACAUUGGGACUGAGACACGGCCCAGACUCCUACGGGAGGCAGCAGUGGGGAAUAUUGCACAAUGGGGGAAACCCUGAUGCAGCAACGCCGCGUGAGUGAUGACGGUCUUCGGAUUGUAAAGCUCUGUCUUUAGGGACGAUAAUGACGGUACCUAAGGAGGAAGCCACGGCUAACUACGUGCCAGCAGACGCGGUAAUACGUAGGUGGCAGGCGUUGUCCGGAUU